AAAGAAGUAUAGGCUGGACUAUUGAACUAUAAGGUGGAUAGAAAGCUGGCUAGAUUGUCGGGCUCAACAGGUAGUGAUCAACGGCUCUGUGUCUAGCUGGCACUCGGUAUCAAGCGGAGUGCCCCAAGGGUCAGUCCUGGGGCCGGUUUUGUUCAAUAUCUUCAUUAAUGAUCUGGAGGAUGGGGUGGACUGCACCCUCAGCAAGUUUGCAGAUGACACUAAACUGGAGGAAUGGUAGAUAUGCUGGAGGGUGGGGAUAGGAUACAGAGGGACCUAGACAAAUUAGAGGACGAGGCCAAAAGAAACCAGAUGAGGUUCAACAAGAACAAGUGCAGAGCCCUGCACUUAGGACGGAAGAAUCCCAUUCACUGCUACAGACUAGGGACCGAAUGGCUAGGAAGCAGUUCUGCAGAAAAGGACCUAAGGGUUACAGUGGAUGAGAAGCUGGAUAUGAGUCGACAGUGUGCCCUUGUUGCCAAGAAGGCCAAUGUCAUUUUGGGCUGUAUAAGUAGGGGCAUUGCCAGCAGAUCGAGGGAUGUGAUCAUUCCCCUCUAUUCAGCACUGGUGAGGCCACAUCUGGAGUACUGUGUCCAGUUUUGGUCCCCCCACUAUAAGAAGGAUGUGGAAAAAUUGGAAAGAGUCCUGCAGAGGGCAACAAAAAUGAUUAAGGGGCUGGAGCACAUGACUUUUGAGGAGAGGCUGAGGGAACUGGGAUUGUUUAGUCUGCAAAAAAGAAGAAUGAGGGGGGAUUUGAUAGCUGCUUUCAACUACUUGAAAGGGGGUUCCAAAGAGGAUGGAUCUAGACUGUUCUCAGUGGUACCUGAUGACAGAACAAGGAGUAAUGGUCUCAAGUUGCAGUGGGGGAGGUUUAGGUUGGAUAUUAGGAAAAACUUUUUCACUCAGAGAGUGGUGAAGCACUGGAAUGGGUUCCCUAGGGAGGUGGUGGAAUGUCCUUCCUUAGAAGUUUUUAAGGUCAGGCUUGACAAAGCCCUGGCUGGGAUGAUUUAGUUGGGGAUUGGUCCUGCUUUGAGCAGGGGGUUGGACUAGAUGACCUCCUGAGGUCUCUUCCAACCCUGAGAUUCUAUGAUUCUAUGUGCAGUCAGUCCUAGUGGUGGAAGUGAGAGUUCAGCCAAUGGGUUAGAGCUGGGUCCAUCGUGGGCAGCAUCCGGGAAA
RNAcentral lists this long non-coding RNA (1173 nucleotides) under Gopherus agassizii (Agassiz's desert tortoise). RNAcentral describes it as "lncRNA (ENSGAGG00000002003.1)". The record is from RNAcentral. Lineage: Eukaryota; Metazoa; Chordata; Testudines; Testudinidae.